AUGGUUUCCCCCUUAGAUGAUCGCAAUGCUGUUACUAAUGCUACUUCCCUUGUUAAUGCUACUACAUUGCCAAUACAGGGAAGCACUCUUACAACUGAUCUUCUUGUUGAUGGUGCAAAAAUCUAUUAUGAUGCUUCUUUUAGGUGCUCAAAAGUUCCAGGUUUACCAAAUGGUAGUGUUGCCACGGGCAUUGGUGUCUUUCUCACAUUCGUUCAAGGCAACAAGAACGUUGACGUACAGGUCCAAGCCUCAGCCCCGACCACUACUUCGCCCAUUCAAGCAAAGCGCUCGCUCUUCUUCUUGCAGCCAAAAUUGCCCAACUAUUGCAGGUGGCACAACCAACUUUCCUGA
RNAcentral lists this ribosomal RNA (351 nucleotides) under Triticum aestivum (bread wheat). RNAcentral describes it as "partial small subunit ribosomal RNA". Lineage: Eukaryota; Viridiplantae; Streptophyta; Magnoliopsida; Poales; Poaceae. The record is from RNAcentral.